GCAAUUUCAUCGACUGGACGUC
This 22-nucleotide non-coding RNA is filed under the name Arabidopsis thaliana (thale cress). Lineage: Eukaryota; Viridiplantae; Streptophyta; Magnoliopsida; Brassicales; Brassicaceae. The record is from RNAcentral.